AAUAGAUACCCGGGUAGUCCACCCCGUAAACGUUGGGAACUAGUUGUGGGGUCCUUUCCACGGAUUCCGUGACGCAGCUAACGCAUUAAGUUCCCCGCCUGGGGAGUACGGCCGCAAGGCUAAAACUCAAAGGAAUUGACGGGGACCCGCACAAGCGGCGGAGCAUGCGGAUUAAUUCGAUGCAACGCGAAGAACCUUACCAAGGCUUGACAUACACCGGAAACGGCCAGAGAUGGUCGCCCCGCAAGGUCGGUGUACAGGUGGUGCAUGGUUGUCGUCAGCUCGUGUCGUGAGAUGUUGGGUUAAGUCCCGCAACGAGCGCAACCCUCGUUCUAUGUUGCCAGCACGUAAUGGUGGGAACUCAUGGGAUACUGCCGGGGUCAACUCGGAGGAAGGUGGGGAUGACGUCAAAUCAUCAUGCCCCUUAUGUCUUGGGCUUCACGCAUGCUACAAUGGCCGGUACAAAGGGCUGCAAUACCGUGAGGUGAGCGAAUCCCAAAAAGCCGGUCCAGUUCGGAUUGAGGUCUGCAACUCGACCUCAUG
RNAcentral lists this ribosomal RNA (543 nucleotides) under uncultured bacterium. RNAcentral describes it as "bacterial SSU rRNA". It matches the Rfam family "Bacterial small subunit ribosomal RNA", at positions 777 to 1322 of the family's 1533-position model. The record is from RNAcentral.